UGGUUUCAAAUUCAAACUAAACAGGUUUUAGUGGCCACAUUUUAAAAGAUGCAAAUUACUUUAGGCUCGAUUCAUACCAAAGGGCCGUCAUGCUCUGUUUUGCGUUCUCAGUCCAGUAAAAUAUUACCAAAUAAUCGUAUUCAUAUGCUACCCCCACGAUCAAAUUCCGAUUCAAUCAUUCACCGACUUCGAAUAGUUUACGUCUCGCACCGGCGACGCAUCUUUCAAAUGUCUGCCUUAUCAACUGUCGAUGGUAGGUUCUGCGCCUACCAUGGUUGUAACGGGUAACGGGGAAUCGGAAAGGGAUUCUAGAAAAAAGGUGCUACAUUCAAGGGAGGCAGUAGGUGUGCAAAUCACUCACUCCUGGCACAGGGAGGUAGUGACGAAAAAUAACGAUGCGGAAUUCGUGGGAGGCCCCGUAAUCGGAAUGAGUACAGUCUAAACCCUUUAACAAGUUAAUUGGAGCAAUA
Molecule: non-coding RNA, 470 nt
Filed under: Agrilus planipennis (emerald ash borer)
Lineage: Eukaryota; Metazoa; Arthropoda; Insecta; Coleoptera; Buprestidae
Description: Eukaryotic small subunit ribosomal RNA
Rfam family: Eukaryotic small subunit ribosomal RNA
Source: Rfam by way of RNAcentral